RNAcentral lists this long non-coding RNA (1211 nucleotides) under Oryzias javanicus (javanese ricefish). RNAcentral's name for it is "lncRNA (ENSOJAG00000002337.1)". Lineage: Eukaryota; Metazoa; Chordata; Actinopteri; Beloniformes; Adrianichthyidae. The record is from RNAcentral.
AUGCUCCUCAGUUUCAUUCGAUCGCUCGUUUGCAUUGACUCCGUUUUGAAACUGAUCAAAAAAGAAAACAACAAACAUGAUUUUAUAAAUACAGAGAUUUCUAGUUUAGAGGAUGAGUGCAUCAAAGUGCAUCGACGCUGCGCACGUUUCCAGGAUCUUGAGCCGAUGGAGUGGAGCUGUGGCUCCGUUCUCCUCCUUCAUCUCCGCUCUUCCUUUUGCUUUUCACCACAGCAGCUUCUGCCUUCUUAUGAAACAACGUCUCAUCCUGCAUUUCAAAACAAGCUUAAGAAACCGAUAAAAACAAAGAUUGUCGAUUCGGGAACAGAGCAAACUUACAGUCUGAGAAUGAUCUGGAAUGUUUUCACACCGGCUGUCUGAUAAAUGACCCAGCUUCCUCUUUUUUAAGACCGCUAUAAAGAAAUAUUAAUGCAACGAAGCACGUGAGUUUAUCUAACUCGAUGUAAAUAUAAGUUUAUGAGGUUUUUUUAAUGUUACUGACCGCUUUCAGGGUCAGAAAUGAGGCGGGGAGAUCCUGACGGGGUCUGGGAUGCUGAAGCAGUUUCUCCAAAACUCGUGUGCUAAAAAAAUGACAUAAAAACAGAAAAAAAAAGGUUAAAAAUGUUUCCAAAAAGAAUGAAAUCUUUAGACUUUUUACCUGCCCGAUAGAAGGUUUGCUCAUGGUCUUGCGGGCCCGGUGGAUCUUGGGCGGGCCAGGGGAAACAGACGGGGAGGCAGAAGUGGAAGGAGAGGAGGAUGGAGCGAGCGGAGGAGAGGAUUUACUCCCAGAGGGGCCGCUAACACUCAUCUUUGCUCGACCGGGGGACAGCGUUAAGGACCCAGAGGACGCCAUCGACGAAGACGCUGAAGAAAGAGACUUGGUAGCGUGUCCUGCAGCCGGUUUGCUUGAUGCUGCGUGGAUCAGCGUUUCUUCUUCCUCUGCAGCACCGCCGCUGUCGCUCUGCGUUUGGCAUGACGGCAGCGCCUGCACCGCCCCAGUGGGCGUCGCUUUCUCAGCGUCAUCGGGCACGGGGAGGUCGUCAUCUGGAAUAAAAACAAGCAUGAGCCUUAAAAGAACAGUCACAAAAAAGCAAAAACAAGAUUUUUAUGAAGUGAAAUGAAUGAAGUUGUAAACGUACCUUUGUUUUCUUGACUUGUACUUGCUAUCGGCUCCUUUGGGGUUUCUGUGUCGUCAGUUUUAGAGUCAUCCUAUC